GAGACCGGCGCACGGGUGCGUAACGCGUAUGCAAUCUACCUUUACAGAGGGAUAGCCCAGAGUAAAUUUGGAUUAAUACCUCAUAGUAUAGCAGUUUCGCAUGAAAACCACUAUUAAAGUCACAACGGUGAAAGAUGAGCAUGCGUCCCAUUAGCUAGUUGGUAAGGUAACGGCUCACCAAGGCUACGAUGGGUAGGGGUCCUGAGAGGGAGAUCCCCCACACUGGUACUGAGACACGGACCAGACUCCUACGGGAGGCAGCAGUGAGGAAUAUUGGACAAUGGGCGCAAGCCUGAUCCAGCCAUGCCGCGUGCAGGAUGACGGUCCUAUGGAUUGUAAACUGCUUUUAUACAGGAAGAAACACUCCGACGUGUCGGAGCUUGACGGUACUGUAAGAAUAAGGAUCGGCUAACUCCGUG
This 419-nucleotide ribosomal RNA is filed under the name uncultured bacterium. RNAcentral describes it as "bacterial SSU rRNA". It matches the Rfam family "Bacterial small subunit ribosomal RNA", at positions 91 to 507 of the family's 1533-position model. The record is from RNAcentral.